Molecule: unclassified non-coding RNA, 1590 nt
Filed under: Haliotis rufescens (red abalone)
Lineage: Eukaryota; Metazoa; Mollusca; Gastropoda; Lepetellida; Haliotidae
Description: methyltransferase-like protein 25B, transcript variant X2
Source: RNAcentral
AUGGCGGCGCCCACGUAUCAUGAUUUGCUUGAAAAGACUAGAGAACAACCAAUGUUCCAGGACCUGCUAAGAUUUCUGUAUGAGUUUGCCUGGAUACACAACUUUGUGACGACACGUUUUUUUGUAGACGAAGUGUGGCGACAUAUGCCUCAAGAGUGGCGUGAUGUUCUGCUGGCCUUGACUGCGGAGGAGUUGAACCACCUGCCUUUUGAAUUCCAUCAGGAAAGGGCUCACUUCCCUCCUUCACUGAAGAGGUUCCUGCAGAUGUCACACAAACUGUCUCUGAUCAGGGAUCAAGUCAACAUCUUGGGCAAGAAGGCUGUAGACCCAAAUCUGAAACGUGGAAUGUCGCCCAAAAAACUUCAUGAAGUUACUAAUAUGUCUGCUGUUGUCAUGGAAACUGCAUCCAAAGCUGGCUGUGAUGUCAUUGUAGAUAUAGGAUCAGGAUUGGGUUACCUGGGCCAGGUGCUACACAAGUGCUAUGGGUACUCGGUGGUUGGAGUGGAGGGUUGUGACGGACAUGUGGAGCGGGCUGAGAAGAGAGGUGCUAAACAAGAUCUCCAAGAUGGCUGCAUUCACAAUGUCACCUUCAACCUACAGCAGACAGGGGAACAUCUCAACGUGUUUCAUGACAAAGUAUCCAAGGCUCUGAGAAGUCUAAAGCCAUGUGUUCACUCACAGACAGCAGUUCAGAAUCCAUGUCAAGUUGAUUCAAAACUGAAAUCUGAAAGGGACACACGAUGCCAGGCUGGUGUUAGUCCUCAAGAUGAGAACCCAAAUUUGGACAAUAAAUAUUCUGGGAUGGAAGUAUGUCAAAGGAUAUAUCGUGGAAGGAAUAUCUGUUUAUGCAAUGAUGUGUCUGAUAACACAGCCAGGACUGUUGUUAAUGCCUCUGGAAUGUGUCCUGGUGGAAAUGAAUCAACUCAAACAUCACCGAACCUGCCUAAAAAUGACAUCCGGCAAGAAUAUCCUGGAGGUGAAGCAGAGACGAGUCAUGUGCCUGUUGCUGCACUUUCAUCUGAAGAGAGACGUGUGUGUAUGAUCGGCCUUCACUGCUGCGGGGACCUAACUCCCACAAUGCUUUGGUACUUCCUGCACAUGUCCAGUGUCCGGGCACUGUGUCUUGUGAGCUGCUGUUACCACAAGAUGUCCUUUGAUGAAGAUACCAGCCAGUUCAACAGCUUUCCUCUGAGUGAGAAUUGUCGGGAAGCCUACGCUGACAUGAAACGCCAACACCCUGGCUGGAGCCUUCACCCUGUCAGCUUGAGACUAGCAGCCCAGGAAACUAGGUCUCGAUGGAAGGCUCAGACGGAGACAGACCACGACACCCAUGUUAGACAUGUUGCUUAUAGAGGGAUACUAGAGGCAUUCUUUAUGGAAGGUGAGUGGAUGCUGAGGUCGGCCAACUGGACAGAAAAGUCAUCAGGAAGGCAGACUUCUCCAGCUUUGAUGCUUUCUCCACAUCCAUCGUCACAGGUCUAGAUGUCAGCAAUGAGGUCAGGGCUGAAUAUUUGCGUCACCUUCAAGAGCUGCACACGAGACACGUUCAACACUUCUGCUAUGUGGAGGUCAUGACUUGUCUGCAGGUGC